Molecule: long non-coding RNA, 249 nt
Filed under: Setaria viridis
Lineage: Eukaryota; Viridiplantae; Streptophyta; Magnoliopsida; Poales; Poaceae
Description: long non-coding RNA (SVIR_LNC000403)
Source: RNAcentral
GCACUUCCGAGUUGCCCUCGGAAAAUGCUAAGGCUCAAUUCAUCUUCGCUGGCAUUGUAACGAGGAGGUGGAUUAUGCACGCUACGAAGGUUGUCAGUGUAGUAUUUUGAUGUGAAGUUUGACACCUCCUCCAGAAUGUAUGCCUCUGCAAUGGAUGCUUCAAUUUUGCACUUAUUCUUACAUUUAGUUCGAAGAACCUUUUGACAUCUCUCAAUUGAAUAGCUCCAACGACCCUGCACAGGCCCCCCC